Molecule: unclassified non-coding RNA, 517 nt
Filed under: Hevea brasiliensis (rubber tree)
Lineage: Eukaryota; Viridiplantae; Streptophyta; Magnoliopsida; Malpighiales; Euphorbiaceae
Source: RNAcentral
AGGAUCUAGCAUAUCUAGAUCUUAUUGAAGUUUAGUCUAUACCAACCAGUGGAAAAAAGGAUCUAUAUAGUAUACUCCAACUUGAUUAGGACAAGGUUGAGUUUGAGCCUGCUUCCUCUGAUAACAACCCUGAGAGGCGCUUUUGAAUUUUUUACCAGAAUCACUCCAAUGAUAAUAGGGUGGUAAUAUUGUGCUUUUGAGUUUUAAUGUGUUGUAUGAAGUUCAUAGGCACAUUGCAUAACUGAUUCCAAAUCAUGGUAAGAACUAUAGCUCAUGAUAGCAUACAAAUAAUAAGUUGACCAAACUACAAAGGAAACACAUAAAUGUUUAAAUCAAUACUCCCACUUCUACUCUCAUAGUCUCAUUUGGUAAGGAUUAUAAAGCAGUGUGUGGAGAUAUGAUUAUACAUCCAUUGUCUUUAGAUGUUAUGACUAAGGUUUUGAUUUCUUAUAAAGAUGAUAUAUUCUAUAUUUAUAGAUCUAUAUUCUGUCUUUAGAAAGUUCAACAUGAGUUGUUG